This 338-nucleotide unclassified non-coding RNA is filed under the name soil metagenome. Its description in RNAcentral is "partial contains 5.8S ribosomal RNA, internal transcribed spacer 2, and large subunit ribosomal RNA". The stretch from base 1 to 120 matches the Rfam family "5.8S ribosomal RNA", at positions 35 to 154 of the family's 154-position model. The record is from RNAcentral.
GAUGAAGAACGUAGCGAAAUGCGAUAAGUAAUGUGAAUUGCAGAAUUCAGUGAAUCAUCGAAUCUUUGAACGCACAUUGCGCCCGCCAGCAUUCUGGCGGGCAUGCCUGUUCGAGCGUCAUUUCAACCCUCAAGCUCUGCUUGGUGUUGGGGCCCUACGGUUGACGUAGGCCCUUAGAGGUAGUGGCGGACCCUCUCGGAGCCUCCUUUGCGUAGUAACUAACGUCUCGCAUUGGGAUUCGGAGGGACUCUUGCCGUAAAACCCCCAAAUUUUCUAAUGGUUGACCUCGGAUCAGGUAGGAAUACCCGCUGAACUUAAGCAUAUCAAUAAGCGGAGGA